CUUGUGGCGAUGGUGCUUCUUCAAUGGAGUUGGGUGGAUAUUUCCAGGAUUUUGACCCAGUGACAAUGAAGUAUUUGUCCAAGUCUGGAUGUUUGGAAAGGUGAGACGGGCUGGGGAUGGACAGACCCACACCUGCAGUCAAAGACAAGGUACAAGCGACAGAUAUCACAAGAUAUACAGAGAUGACAACGGAACUCAAUUGAAACCAAAAGGACGAUUUGAC
Molecule: long non-coding RNA, 223 nt
Organism: Callorhinchus milii (elephant shark)
Lineage: Eukaryota; Metazoa; Chordata; Chondrichthyes; Chimaeriformes; Callorhinchidae
Exons: 3
Source: RefSeq, a predicted model, not a curated record